AAGUCGUAACAAGGUUUCCGUAGGUGAACCUGCGGAAGGAUCAUUAUCACGUAUCCAAACGUAUCAACCCAACUUGUGAACCGGUUGUCUCCCUUUGUAGAAUUAGAUAGGAAAGCGUACUGAUGUAUGGAUGGUAGGCGGAAACCCCUCUUGUUAUGAGAGUGUGGUGAAGACCCGCAUCAAUACAGUGAUCGGAAAACGUAAUUCGUAUCGAAAGAUAUGUUGAUGUAACACGUCUUUUUCUGCAAGGGCUUAUGUUCUCUAUAAAGCUUCUACAUCCAUGAGUGAUAUAGAGAACGAUGUUUUUUUAUUAUUAAACCAUUUUCACCCAAUUUUCCAUCAGUUGAUUUUAUUUGUGGGUUGUUAUGAAAAUAAUGAUUCCACGUUCUUAAUUGAACACAAUUACAACUCUUAGCAAUGGAUGUCUAGGUUCUC
Molecule: unclassified non-coding RNA, 435 nt
Filed under: fungal sp.
Lineage: Eukaryota; Fungi
Description: partial internal transcribed spacer region
Rfam family: Eukaryotic small subunit ribosomal RNA (bases 1-46)
Source: RNAcentral